This 238-nucleotide ribosomal RNA is filed under the name uncultured bacterium. RNAcentral describes it as "partial 16S ribosomal RNA". It matches the Rfam family "Bacterial small subunit ribosomal RNA", at positions 118 to 347 of the family's 1533-position model. The record is from RNAcentral.
UGAGGAACAUGACCUUCGGCGGGGGAUAGCCGGCCCAACGGCCGGGUAAUACCGCGUACGACCACUUUGGGACAUCCCUGGGUGGUGAAAGCAGCAAUGCGCCGAUGGAGUGCCUCGCGGCCUAUCAGCUAGUUGGUGAGGUAACGGCUCACCAAGGCGACGACGGGUAGCUGGUCUGAGAGGAUGGCCAGCCACAUUGGGACUGAGACUACCGGCCCAGACCUCCGUACGGGAGCAG